GAUGAACGCUGGCGGCGUGCCUAAUACAUGCAAGUCGAGCGAACGGACGAGAAGCUUGCUUCUCUGAUGUUAGCGGCGGACGGGUGAGUAACACGUGGAUAACCUACCUAUAAGACUGGGAUAACUUCGGGAAACCGGAGCUAAUACCGGAUAAUAUUUUGAACCGCAUGGUUCAAAAGUGAAAGACGGUCUUGCUGUUACUUAUAGCUGGAUCCGCGCUGCAUUAGCUAGUUGGUAAGGUAACGGCUUACCAAGGCAACGAUGCAUAGCCGACCUGAGAGGGUGAUCGGCCACACUGGAACUGAGACACGGUCCAGACUCCUACGGGAGGCAGCAGUAGGGAAUCUUGCGCAAUGGGCGAAAGCCUGACGGAGCAACGCCGCGUGAGUGAUGAAGGUCUUCGGAUCGUAAAACUCUGUUAUUGGGGAAGAACAUAUGUGUAAGUAACUGUGCACAUCUUGACGGUACCUAAUCAGAAAGCCACGGCUAACUACGUG
RNAcentral lists this ribosomal RNA (497 nucleotides) under uncultured bacterium. Its description in RNAcentral is "partial 16S ribosomal RNA". It matches the Rfam family "Bacterial small subunit ribosomal RNA", at positions 28 to 507 of the family's 1533-position model. The record is from RNAcentral.